RNAcentral lists this ribosomal RNA (765 nucleotides) under uncultured Streptococcus sp. RNAcentral's name for it is "bacterial SSU rRNA". It matches the Rfam family "Bacterial small subunit ribosomal RNA", at positions 28 to 777 of the family's 1533-position model. Lineage: Bacteria; Bacillati; Bacillota; Bacilli; Lactobacillales; Streptococcaceae. The record is from RNAcentral.
GACGAACGCUGGCGGCGUGCCUAAUACAUGCAAGUAGAACGCUGAAGGAGGAGCUUGCUUCUCUGGAUGAGUUGCGAACGGGUGAGUAACGCGUAGGUAACCUGCCUGGUAGCGGGGGAUAACUAUUGGAAACGAUAGCUAAUACCGCAUAAGAGUAGAUGUUGCAUGACAUUUGCUUAAAAGGUGCAAUUGCAUCACUACCAGAUGGACCUGCGUUGUAUUAGCUAGUUGGUGGGGUAACGGCUCACCAAGGCGACGAUACAUAGCCGACCUGAGAGGGUGAUCGGCCACACUGGGACUGAGACACGGCCCAGACUCCUACGGGAGGCAGCAGUAGGGAAUCUUCGGCAAUGGACGGAAGUCUGACCGAGCAACGCCGCGUGAGUGAAGAAGGUUUUCGGAUCGUAAAGCUCUGUUGUAAGAGAAGAACGAGUGUGAGAGUGGAAAGUUCACACUGUGACGGUAUCUUACCAGAAAGGGACGGCUAACUACGUGCCAGCAGCCGCGGUAAUACGUAGGUGGCAAGCGUUAUCCGGAUUUAUUGGGCGUAAAGAGAGUGCAGGCGGUUUUCUAAGUCUGAUGUGAAAGCCUUCGGCUUAACCGGAGAAGUGCAUCGGAAACUGGAUAACUUGAGUGCAGAAGAGGGUAGUGGAACUCCAUGUGUAGCGGUGGAAUGCGUAGAUAUAUGGAAGAACACCAGUGGCGAAGGCGGCUACCUGGUCUGCAACUGACGCUGAGACUCGAAAGCAUGGGUAGCGAACAGGG